GAGUGGCGGACGGGUGAGUAACACGUGGGUAACCUGCCCUUAAGUGGGGGAUAACAUUUGGAAACAGAUGCUAAUACCGCAUAAAUCCAANAACCGCAUGGUUCUUGGCUGAAAGAUGGCGUAAGCUAUCGCUUUUGGAUGGACCCGCGGCGUAUUANCUAGUUGGUGAGGNAACGGCUCACCAAGGCAAUGAUNCNUAGCCNAACUGAGAGGNUGAUCGGCCACAUUGGGACUGAGACACNGCCCAAACUCCUACGGGAGGCAGCAGUAGGGAAUCUUCCACAAUGGACGCAAGUCUGAUGGAGCAACGCCGCGUGAGUGAAGAAGGCUUUCGGGUCGUAAAACUCUGUUGUUGGAGAANAAUGGUCGGCAGAGUAACUGUUGUCGGCGUGACGGUAUCCAACCAGAAAGCCACGGNUUACUNCGUGCCAGCAGCCGCGGUUAUACAA
Molecule: ribosomal RNA, 449 nt
Filed under: Lacticaseibacillus zeae
Lineage: Bacteria; Bacillati; Bacillota; Bacilli; Lactobacillales; Lactobacillaceae
Description: Lactobacillus zeae partial 16S ribosomal RNA
Rfam family: Bacterial small subunit ribosomal RNA
Source: RNAcentral